CGCGGCGUUGUCGGGGGCGGCACCGAAGGACAGGUGCGGGGAGCGGGCCGGGAGGGGAAGGAGCGGGCGCUACGGCCCGGGAGACAGGAAUGCUUUGGGAAGAAGUUGGGAAAGCUCUGGCCCUGGCUAACAUCUGACCCAAGGAGCUGCCUCCAUGCAGCAAACAUUUUUCGAGUGCCGUAUUUGUGAAGUCCAGGAGAUGCUCGUUAUACGAUCAGCAAAGUGAAGACAGAGACCCUUUCUGAUGUGUCUGCAAAUACGCAGUGCUCCGUACACAGUAAAGACGAGGAAACUGCUGCUCAGAGCAAGGCUUCUCCACCCCAAGCUGCUGGAGAAGACCCCACAGUUGCGCGAAGGCCACAUCUGGGCCCUCAGCUCCAUCCCGUGGUCUUUAUAAACAGUCCAGCUGGGCCCCCUCUCUCAGUCCCUUCCCCACCUUUGCAGACCUUUGCCUGUCUCUGCAAGCAACACAGACACACCCUUCUCCUUUUCUCCGUGGGGGACCUUGCCUCCCACUCAUGGAGAAAGCAGAGGGGGGCGGGGAGAUUCUCAGAUUCCAGUCCCCUUCAACCUAUCAACUUAUCCACAGAAACGCCUCAAGUCCGCUGUGAAAUGAGGCAGUGUAAAAUAAACACAUGAUGAAGUCAA
Long non-coding RNA from Eptesicus fuscus (big brown bat), 648 nucleotides. RefSeq lists it as uncharacterized. Lineage: Eukaryota; Metazoa; Chordata; Mammalia; Chiroptera; Vespertilionidae. The transcript has 4 exons. The record is from RefSeq and is a predicted model, not a curated record.